RNAcentral lists this ribosomal RNA (446 nucleotides) under uncultured bacterium. RNAcentral describes it as "bacterial SSU rRNA". It matches the Rfam family "Bacterial small subunit ribosomal RNA", at positions 329 to 792 of the family's 1533-position model. The record is from RNAcentral.
CACCAGACUCCUACGGGAGGCAGCAGUGGGGGAUAUUGGACAAUGGGGGAAACCCUGAUGCAGCGACGCCGCGUGAGCGAGGAAGUAUUUCGGUAUGUAAAGCUCUAUCAGCAGGGAAGAAAAUGACGGUACCUGACUAAGAAGCCCCGGCUAACUACGUGCCAGCAGCCGCGGUAAUACGUAGGGGGCAAGCGUUAUCCGGAUUUACUGGGUGUAAAGGGAGCGUAGGCGGCUGUGUAAGCCAGAAGUGAAAGCCCGGGGCUCAACUCCGGGACUGCUUUUGGAACUACAUGGCUUGAUUGCAGGAGAGGCAAGUGGAAUUCCUAGUGUAGCGGUGAAAUGCGUAGAUAUUAGGAAGAACACCAGUGGCGAAGGCGGCUUUCUGGACUGAAACUGACGCUGAGGCACGAAAGCGUGGGGAGCGAACAGGAUUAGAUACCCUGGUA